CAAGAUACGUACACAUACACCUAACAGACAUAUGGGUCUUCUUUCUUCAACAGAGGCGACCUUCUGCCACCUAAAAACAACUGCUAAUUGCCAGAGAAAACGCCAUAAAACUCCAUUUUCUUCACCUUAGAUUCUCUGUUUUUUCCAUAGAAACCAGUAGCUUCAAACCUCCAUAAACAUAGCUGAAAAACUGCCCUCAAAUCUCUCCAAAACACUAAAAAAACUUCACGAGAUUCAGUGGAAAACUGAUGCCAAACAGCCUUGAAACUAGCCUUUAAACACCCAUUCACUCCGGCGAACAUCAGCCGAGUAGUCGAAUUCCGUCAAAUAUCAAACGAGUCGAAUGGCGAGGUUUCCGGUCCGAAUGCCGUCAAUGGCGAGGUCGUUCGAAUUCCAUCCAUUAGCUUCAUAUAUGUUUCUCUGUUUCUGCAUUGAGUUUUGAGAUUUACAACUGUACCAGUUAGUUUAUUUGGGAUUUCUUCCCAAUAUAUUGGAAAAGUUUCAUUGCUCAAGGUCCAGUUCUUUCUUUCGUCUACUACUCUAUUUCAUAUCUCUAUGAUUCAUAUAUUUUAGAUCCCCGUUACUUAUGCUUUACUUCUUCACUUCUCAUUUAUGUUUAC
RNAcentral lists this long non-coding RNA (620 nucleotides) under Nicotiana benthamiana. Its description in RNAcentral is "long non-coding RNA (NBEN_LNC037535)". Lineage: Eukaryota; Viridiplantae; Streptophyta; Magnoliopsida; Solanales; Solanaceae. The record is from RNAcentral.